GUUUGAUCAGUGGCUCGAGGAACGAACGCUGGCGGUGUGCUUCACACAUGCAAGUCGAACGAGGUAGCAAUACCUAGUGGCGGACGGGUGAGUAACGCGUGGGAAUCUGCCUUUAGAUGGGGGAUAACGGGUCGAAAGACUCGCUAAUACCGCACAUGACGAAAGUUGAAAGGAGUAAUCCGUCUAAAGAUGAGCCCGCGUCCGAUUAGCUAGUUGGUAGAGUAAAAAGCCUACCAAGGCGACGAUCGGUAGCUGGUCUGAGAGGAUGAUCAGCCACAAUGGGACUGAGACACGGCCCAUACUCCUACGGGAGGCAGCAGUGGGAAUUUUACGCAAUGGCGAAAGCCUGACGUAGCGACACCGCGUGAGCGAAGAAGCCCCUUGGGGUGUAAAGCUCUGUCAGCUGGAACGAAAAAAUGACGGUACCAGCAGAGGAAGCAUCGGCUAACUACGUG
Molecule: ribosomal RNA, 455 nt
Filed under: uncultured bacterium
Lineage: Bacteria
Description: bacterial SSU rRNA
Rfam family: Bacterial small subunit ribosomal RNA
Source: RNAcentral